This 198-nucleotide ribosomal RNA is filed under the name Chondrostoma phoxinus. RNAcentral's name for it is "partial 12S ribosomal RNA". Lineage: Eukaryota; Metazoa; Chordata; Actinopteri; Cypriniformes; Leuciscidae. The record is from RNAcentral.
UAAAGGCAUGGUCCUGACCUUAUUAUUAGCUCUAACCCAACUUACACAUGCAAGUCUCCGCAAUCCCGUGAGUAUGCCCUUAAUCCCCUGCCCGGGGACGAGGAGCGGGCAUCAGGCACAAAUUUUUAGCCCAAGACGCCUGGCCGAGCCACACCCCCAAGGGAAUUCAGCAGUGAUAAAUAUUAAGCCAUAAGGAAA